RNAcentral lists this transfer RNA (74 nucleotides) under Planctomycetota bacterium. RNAcentral describes it as "tRNA-Val". It matches the Rfam family "tRNA". From Rfam's summary of the family: Transfer RNA (tRNA) molecules are approximately 80 nucleotides in length. Their secondary structure includes four short double-helical elements and three loops (D, anti-codon, and T loops). Further hydrogen bonds mediate the characteristic L-shaped molecular structure. tRNAs have two regions of fundamental functional importance: the anti-codon, which is responsible for specific mRNA codon recognition, and the 3' end, to which the tRNAs corresponding amino acid is attached (by aminoacyl-tRNA synthetases). tRNAs cope with the degeneracy of the genetic code in two manners: having more than one tRNA (with a specific anti-codon) for a particular amino acid; and 'wobble' base-pairing, i.e. permitting non-standard base-pairing at the 3rd anti-codon position. The record is from RNAcentral. Lineage: Bacteria; Pseudomonadati; Planctomycetota.
GGGCGAUUAGCUCAGUUGGCUAGAGCGCUUGCUCGACACGCAAGAGGUCACUGGUUCGAGUCCAGUAUCGCCCA